UACGGGGGGGGCAAGCGUUGUUCGGAAUUACUGGGCGUAAAGGGCUCGUAGGCGGCCAACUAAGUCGGACGUGAAAUCCCUCGGCUUAACCUGGGAACUGCGUUUGAAACUGGGAGACUUGAGUGUGGCAGAGGGGGGUGGAAUUCCACGUGUAGCAGUGAAAUGCGUAGAUAUGUGGAGGAACACCGAUGGCGAAGGCAGCCCCCUGGGUUAACACUGACGCUCAUGCACGAAAGCGUGGGGAGCAAACAGG
Molecule: ribosomal RNA, 253 nt
Filed under: uncultured bacterium
Lineage: Bacteria
Description: partial 16S ribosomal RNA
Rfam family: Bacterial small subunit ribosomal RNA
Source: RNAcentral